Molecule: unclassified non-coding RNA, 229 nt
Filed under: fungal sp.
Lineage: Eukaryota; Fungi
Description: partial internal transcribed spacer region
Rfam family: Eukaryotic small subunit ribosomal RNA (bases 1-46)
Source: RNAcentral
AAGUCGUAACAAGGUUUCCGUAGGUGAACCUGCGGAAGGAUCAUUACCUAGUUUCUUGGGCCUUACCCGGCCCUCGAUUCUCACCCUUGAUUAUGUGCACCUUUUGUUGUUUCCUCGGCAGGUCUCCUGCCGGUAGGAACCCUACAAACCCCUUUGCAAUAGCAUCAGAACUUCUGAACAAUAUACCCAACUAUUUACAACUUUUAACAAUGGAUCUCUUGGUUCUGGC